This 406-nucleotide ribosomal RNA is filed under the name uncultured bacterium. RNAcentral's name for it is "partial 16S ribosomal RNA". It matches the Rfam family "Bacterial small subunit ribosomal RNA", at positions 30 to 526 of the family's 1533-position model. The record is from RNAcentral.
AUUGAACGCUGGCGGCAGGCUUAACACAUGCAAGUCGAGCGAGUGGCGGACGGGUGAGUAAUGUCUGGGAAACUGCCUGAUGGAGGGGGAUAACUACUGGAAACGGUAGCUAAUACCGCAUACCAUCAGAUGUGCCCAGAUGGGAUUAGCUAGUAGGUGGGGUAAUGGCUCACCUAGGCGACGAUCCCUAGCUGGUCUGAGAGGAUGACCAGCCACACGGGAACUGAGACACGGUCCAGACUCCUACGGGAGGCAGCAGUGGGGAAUAUUGCACAAUGGGCGCAAGCCUGAUGCAGCCAUGCCGCGUGUGUGAAGAAGGCCUGCGGGUUGUAAAGCACUUUCAGCGAGGCGGAGUUACUCGCAGAAGAAGCACCGGCUAACCACGGGCCAGCAGCCGCGGUAAUUC